RNAcentral lists this ribosomal RNA (608 nucleotides) under Bacillus sp. CH91b. RNAcentral's name for it is "bacterial SSU rRNA". It matches the Rfam family "Bacterial small subunit ribosomal RNA", at positions 52 to 645 of the family's 1533-position model. The record is from RNAcentral. Lineage: Bacteria; Bacillati; Bacillota; Bacilli; Caryophanales; Bacillaceae.
UACUGCAAGUCGAGCGGAAGAAGGGAGCUUGCUCCCGGAUGUUAGCGGCGGACGGGUGAGUAACACGUGGGUAACCUGCCUGUAAGACUGGGAUAACUCCGGGAAACCGGAGCUAAUACCGGAUAGUUCCUUGAACCGCAUGGUUCAAGGAUGAAAGACGGUUUCGGCUGUCACUUACAGAUGGACCCGCGGCGCAUUAGCUAGUUGGUGAGGUAACGGCUCACCAAGGCGACGAUGCGUAGCCGACCUGAGAGGGUGAUCGGCCACACUGGGACUGAGACACGGCCCAGACUCCUACGGGAGGCAGCAGUAGGGAAUCUUCCGCAAUGGACGAAAGUCUGACGGAGCAACGCCGCGUGAGUGAUGAAGGUUUUCGGAUCGUAAAGCUCUGUUGUUAGGGAAGAACAAGUGCAAGAGUAACUGCUUGCACCUUGACGGUACCUAACCAGAAAGCCACGGCUAACUACGUGCCAGCAGCCGCGGUAAUACGUAGGUGGCAAGCGUUGUCCGGAAUUAUUGGGCGUAAAGGGCUCGCAGGCGGUUUCUUAAGUCUGAUGUGAAAGCCCCCGGCUCAACCGGGGAGGGUCAUUGGAAACUGGGAAACUUGA